Non-coding RNA from Vicia faba (fava bean), 255 nucleotides. NCBI's taxonomy places the organism in Eukaryota, Viridiplantae, Streptophyta, Magnoliopsida, Fabales, Fabaceae. The record is from the annotation of a GenBank genome assembly.
AUGGCCGCAAAUGGAGUGCCCCCUACUGCUCUCGAUAAAGAACAGAUAUUUGGAAUGGCUGAAAAAGAGAUGGAGUAUAGAGUCGAAUUGUUCAAUAAGAUGACUCAGACCUGUUUCAACAAGUGUGUUGACAAUAAGUACAAGGAGUCUGAGCUAAAUAUGGGUGAAAAUAGUUGCAUUGACCGCUGUGUUUCCAAAUACUGGCAUGUGACUAAUCUAAUUGGUCAGCUGCUUGGUACUGGGAAGCCUCAAUGA